CAGAGCGUCUCGGACCGUCUGCCCGGGAUAGUUUGAAAUCGCGGUUUUGUUCGUCCCACUGGGGCUCCAAGAGGUUGAAGCUGCAGAUAAGAGAGAAGAUGCCUCAUGGAACAAAGUGCCCAGAGCAGUGGAAGAAAAUGAGAUUCUGAGUGAAUGUGAACAUGGAAAGAUUCGCUUGGAGAAGGAAGAUGCACCUCUUCCACUGAUCGGUGAACUUUCAGGUAAGAACAGAAGCAAAUGUAAGUUUGGACCAGAGUAGGGGAGAUUAAAGGAGUGCCGUCUCAUUGCCAUUGCUUUUUCUGGAGUGUAUGCAGGCAGGUCACUGCCUAGAGUGAAAAGAGUGGAGCUGCAGGGGAAGAUGGCAGUUGCAGUUUAAAUAGCCACUGGGGAAGACAGGUGACGGUCCAGGGAGGCUGGGCCAGCCAGGGGACAGGGGACAUGGCACAGCAUUGACAAGAAGACAGGAGAGCUGAUGGUGUGGGCUUGGAGAAGAUAGUGACAAGGACUGGAGUGUCACAGCACACUUUUGGUGAUGCUUGGGGUCUGAGCAAUGCCCCUUGAAGGGACCAGAUUUCCCCAGCUUCUUUGCUCCCUGAUAGGUUAGGUUUGCUGUCACAUGUGAGGGGCCAUCACCUUGCAAUGGUGACAGCAUUCAGAGUGGACAUACCACUGCAGAGAGCUGGAGCCAUGGAGACCAUUGUGACCUGGAGGCCAGAAUGUUAGGAAACAGAGUGGAACCUCAGAGAAAUCCAGAGUCAAGGGCGUGGGGUUAUCAGCCCAGCUCCUUAGUUAACAGCCGAGGAAACUGAAGCCCAGGGAGAUAAAGACAGAGGCAGAGGAGGAAUUCUUUCUUAGCAGAUCUUCUAUUCAUAAUUCAGGAUCAUUUCCAGGGCUCCCAGGUGAGAAAAUGGGGAGGGAGAAAACUGAAUGAAUCUCCUCUUAGAGUCACUGGCCUCCUAGGGGUGGGCUGUUGGUUGCACUCCUGGGCAUUUUGGCACAACUUUUAAUACAAAGGCUUCUCUUUUCUAGGAUCUCAGGAUGCUUGAAUCCUGGGACAAACAGA
RNAcentral lists this long non-coding RNA (1063 nucleotides) under Callithrix jacchus (white-tufted-ear marmoset). Its description in RNAcentral is "lncRNA (ENSCJAG00000073208.1)". Lineage: Eukaryota; Metazoa; Chordata; Mammalia; Primates; Cebidae. The record is from RNAcentral.